CAGCUGACACACAUGCCCAUCUGCCAUGCUGGCACCAUGCCCUAGCAAGGGGAGCUCUGCUUCCUACCGGUGGGCGUAGGUGCCGGGUGGCUGCAUAUGUCUGCAGAGGGGGCCUCUGUCUCAAACAGUACAGAAGACCUGCAGUUCCAAUAUUCCCCUCCUGCCCUGCUCAUCCCUCACCACCUCUACCAGGGUGCACAGAGGUGCCUGGAGCUGCAGAAGGAAGAAACAAAGAAGAUAGGAACUGGAGAGUUCAGGGCUGCCAAACAAACAGGCCUUGCCACAUACAGCAUGCUGCAGAGCCAAGGCCACCUAUGGAACAACCAAAUGGACACUUGGAAGGAAAAGCCAAAGGCACAAACAAUACCAGCUCAAAGGGCCCCACAAGGGGCCUGGGCCAUUGAUAGACCAUGGGGUAGUGCAUGAUGCUAUUGACACUGUCAUUUCCCUCCAAGAACGAGGGGGAACAACUCUGAGGGGAGGAUGCUCACUUUUUUCUCCAUGUCUGCCCUUGGUGAAGCUCAUUCUCCUCUAUGGUUGGAUGGGAGUGUCUGAGCUUGCGAUCAUUUCUACAAGGAGGCACAGGAGGUCCCCUUCCACGCUGGCUUUGCUGACUUCUGAGCCUUUAAGAGGAAAAAGAUCUUUCAGCCGUGGACACAGAAGGACAAUCCUUCAAGGCAACUUGGUGAAGCAAAUCAUGGGCACCCUUCGUUCAAAUGCCUCACGUGCAGAAUAAUGGUGACCCCCGGGAUAGGAGCAUGGUGAAUUUUGCCCGACACGCCGGACCCCUGCUAGGAAAGGCGCACAAGUCAUGUAGGGUUUAAAUAAAGAAAAAAUUCUGUGUACUUGCUGCAUACAAGGUUCUGUGUUGCUACCAGGUCCCUCUGCCAAUAUCUUCCUCUCCACCCCCACUGAAGUUCCCUGGACUACAAGUGAGAAGAUUAAAAACCAGAUUAAGUGAUUUGCCCAAGAUCAUAUAGCAUGAGUGACAUGACCAGAGCCCAAAAUGAGAUUUUCAGACUCCAAAGCCUGUGCUCUUUCCCUGCAAGCAACAUGACAUGGUGGAAAGCAGAUGAGCUCUGGACCCAGACAAAUGUGAACUAGGAUCUUAAGUUAACUCUGGUCCCAGCACUUGUUAACAGCAUGGCUUCAAUUAUCCUUUGGAGGGCCUAACACCUAUGUCAUAGUGUGGUUGGAAAUAAGGCAUGAGUUAACACCUGCCAAAUAUCUAGCACAAUAACAGGCUUAAAGAAGGUAUAAGCAGAUGUUACUUCCAUACUUCCUCACUUUCUCCAUUUGCAGGAUAAAAAUAAAUUUAAGAUGCAUGCUAUGGAAAUUUAGCAUAGGUAUACAACUCACUGAAGUUCACCAGCUAUACACAUCUGUGCACCAGAAACCAGAUGAUGAAAUAGAAUGCCGACACCUACCCUUUGAUGGUGCCUUCUGCCCUUCCUAGCCACUAUAUCCCUUUAAGAAUAACCUCUACUGAUUCCUAACGUUGUAGGUUGAUGUUACCUGCUUCUGAAUGUUAUAUAAGUAGAUCCAUAUAGUAUAUUCCCUCUUGUAUCUGGUUCUUUUACUUGCCAUUGUAUUAAUGAGAUCUACAUCACUGUAUUAGAAUGGUUCACUCAUUCUCAUUUCUUGAUAGUAUCCCAGUAUGUGAAUAUACUCAAUUUAUUUAUCCAUUUUACGGUGCAUGAGCAUUUGCAUUGUUUCUCAAACUUUUACUAAAAUGCUUCUCUGAAUGUUCUUGUGGAUAUGUAUUGAUAAAUAUGUGUAUGCUUUUUCUAUAAAAGCAAGAGUAAAA
Heterocephalus glaber (naked mole-rat) is the source of this 1807-nucleotide non-coding RNA. The record is from RefSeq and is a predicted model, not a curated record. Lineage: Eukaryota; Metazoa; Chordata; Mammalia; Rodentia; Bathyergidae.